AAUGAGACGGAAUGUCUGGAGGAACUCCGAUAGUUCAUUUGUAACAAGAAAGUUUCAAUUUGUGGCAAAAAUUGAAACGUUUUAAAGUAAAAUGUUUCUGUCUCCAAAUUACUGAGCAGUUCUGUACAGCUGUCCAGACGUACUGUAUCUUUUUUGCUAAAUAAGUAUUUUUUAAAUAUUUUUUCUUAAAGGAAAACAAUAAAAAUCAUCUGUCUAAAAACAGGGGCGUCUAAACUGAGGUCUAAACAGAGAGAGGUCUGAAAAUACGGACAGUUGAAAAAAAGCUCUUGUUUAGCGAACUCUGGCCUGGGAAAACGGAAGAGAAGGACGGGUUUGUACCGGGACUGGUUGGGAAAGACGACGUUUACGGCCAUUAAAGGAAAGCCAGAAAAACACACCUACCGUAAUUUGUUUUGUCAGAAGAGAAAAGUGCUGCCAUGCAACAAGUGGUAAGCGAUUCAUGUUGGCUGGAGCCUGAUCUGAUGGUGAUGAUGAUGCUGAACCAGCAGCAGCUGCUGGGAUUGAUGAGUGAAGUGG
This is a long non-coding RNA of Xiphophorus maculatus (southern platyfish), 537 nucleotides long. RefSeq lists it as uncharacterized. The record is from RefSeq and is a predicted model, not a curated record. The transcript is spliced from 3 exons. Lineage: Eukaryota; Metazoa; Chordata; Actinopteri; Cyprinodontiformes; Poeciliidae.